RNA transcript from Fundulus heteroclitus (mummichog), 2592 nucleotides. It is a transcript of the gene named dynein, axonemal, heavy chain 2, with no coding region annotated. NCBI's taxonomy places the organism in Eukaryota, Metazoa, Chordata, Actinopteri, Cyprinodontiformes, Fundulidae. The record is from RefSeq and is a predicted model, not a curated record. The transcript is spliced from 6 exons.
CAGCGACACCCGGGAGAAAGUGGAGGCCAUGAGUCUGGAGCAGGAGGAGGCCAAGAAGCAGGUGGUGGAGUUCCAGAAACAGUGCGACCAGUACUUAUCCAUCAUUUUAAAGCAAAAGGCGGAGGCUGAUGAACUGCAGAGGGUAGGUGUCGCCGAGACGUGUCGGUGAGCAAUUAUCCACCAGCAGAUGCUGUGAUAGGUGUGGUUUUGUUCAGAGGGUGGGUGAGAAUAGCGAGAAAAUCCGAGCGGAGGAGUAAAGCCGUGGCUGAUAAUGCGCAGAGGGAGCUGGACAAGGCCCUGCCUGCUCUGGAAGAGGCCCUGAAGGCCCAGGGGUCUCUGAAUAAGAAGGACAUGACAGAGAUCAAGUCUCACGGCCGUCCUCCAGCGCCGUUGGAGGCUGUGAUGCACGCCGACAUGACCCCGCUUGGCAACGAGCCGACCUGGGCCGAAGCCAAGAGACAGCUGGGUGAGAGGCGGCAACGGGGCAGAACUUAACACCGGCUGACCAGUUUGGAAAGAAGGAGUCCUGUAUUAGCGUGACCUCCGUCUCUCCAGGUGUAUGGAGGCAUCUACCAGGAUGUGGAGCCGAAGCGGGCGCUGCUGAACGCCGCCAUGAACCAGUUAGCAGAGAAGGAAGCUGCCCUGGUCGACACGCAGAGAAAAGGUUCAAGAGGUUGGAAUGAAAGAGGUUUUACUUUGACUCUCACACAUUUCAAAGGGACGUUUGGGGACAGGUGGCGGAUAAGCUGAACGAGCUUAAAAAGCAACACACAGAGAAGCUGGUCAUGAAGGAGGGCUUGAGAAAGAAAUCUCAGGAGAUGGAGCUGAAACUGUCCACUCCACAGAAAGGGUCCGCUGGGAGGAGAGUUACCGUAAGUGAAGUCUAACGUUGAAAAAGGAGUUGCUGCAGUUUGACACGUCUUACUGCACAAGGCCGAUUAGGAUGUAAAUGUAUAUUUCAACAGAUCAUUGAGGUCCAAUAAAGCUCAUGAGUAAACCUUUCAUCUAUUGUAGGCCUGUAAAACAUAUAAAUCACAUUGAAUGAAUCACAGACAGUAUAUGGAUGAAGGUAAUAGUGAUGUUUAAGGGCAACGUCAUUCUGAGAGUUACUGUGUACUGGCUCUGUUGUGAAGAUUUCAGCAACAUGCUACUUUUCCAAGUCACAGUCAGGUUUCAAGUCUCUAAUGAAAUGAGUAGACAUUUUCUCAUCAAGUCCAUGACAUGUAGUGCUCCUCUAACCCUGUAUUGCUGAAAGCCGGGAUACCAAACCUGUAAUGUUCGUCUUAUCCUAAAAUGAUCACAUUUACCUUGAAUAAUUAGCUUUUAAUAUUUUAACAUUUAAUUCAGCAUGGCACACAACUGCUGAAGGACGCUUUACUAUUUUCAACAACGCAAUUAAAAAUAUAUUUUAUCAAUCCCCAAGGCAAAUUUGAUUAAUUUAAAUUAGAUUUAUUGAUUUUAAAAUUUGAUAAUGUGUAAUAUUUACGCAGUCAGAAAUAUAGAUAGGGAUUCAUGCUCCAUUUAUGCUCUAUAUAUAAAAUGUUAUUUUUUUUGCAACUCAAUUCGCUGAGUUUUGUUGAUCAUAUUGAUUUUCCGCUUACAGCUAAUGAUAACAUAACAUUUAACAUUAGCGUAUUACAUCAGACCAAGAACAUUUUUAAUACAGAAAUAUAGGCUUAGAGAAAAGUAUGUUUAACAUCUGCUUACAGUUUUCUUUCUCAAAUGGUACUUUUUAAUCUGACAAAUGAGCCUCAUCGGAACGACUCUUCUAAUUUCUGGAAUAUCACUGCAUCUGUAGCCCAGCAUUUGGGUCACUUCCACAUAUUUGGCCGUAGCUGUAUCUCUUACUACUCUUCAGUGUGACAUAAAUGACUUCCUCUCUCCCCCCUUUUUAAGAUGGCCACUGAUAGCAGACCCUCAAGGCCAGGCUCUGAAGUGGAUCAAAAAUAUGGAAAUGGAAAAAAGACUACAUCCGGGUGCUAGAAAAUGCCAUCCAGUUUGGGGAUCCUGUUCUGCUGCAGAACGUCCAGGAGGAAAUAGAUCCUUCCCUCAACCCUGUUCUCGAUAAGUCCCUGACACGUAUAGGUGGCAGGCUGCUGUUGAAGCUCGGCGACAAGGAGUCGGAAUACAAUCCCGAGUUCAGAUUCUACAUCACCACCAAGCUGUCCAAUCGCCACUUUCUUCAAAGACCACCACAGUUACCUCCGCUGUCAAGGAGCAGGCUCCUGAACGAAGCCAGUGGCUCUCUGCUGGAUGACGCACCGCUGGUAAACACCCUGCAGGCUUCCAAAGUGACGGCCAGCAAAGUUUCAGAGCAGCUGGAGAGCAGCGAACAGGCCGAGCUGAAGAUCAACUCGGCCUGAGAGGUCAGGACGGGGGAAUGGUGUACAGACGAUGGAGAACUGAGACAAGGCGUAUCCGUCUCUGGAGGCCCCCUAGCAGCGUGGACGCGGGAUCUCUGCCAGAGAUGGGGACCGGUUCGCACGCUGGGCGGAGAAGGGCCAGCCUCCCGUCCUGUUCUGGCUGCCGGCGUCGUGCCAAACGACUUAUCCCCCGCCAGAGUUUGCAUCCCCUGCGUCGGGAGCGUGCUUG